This 840-nucleotide ribosomal RNA is filed under the name uncultured archaeon. Its description in RNAcentral is "bacterial SSU rRNA". It matches the Rfam family "Archaeal small subunit ribosomal RNA", at positions 21 to 870 of the family's 1478-position model. The record is from RNAcentral.
CCCGACUGCUAUCGGAUUGGGACUAAGCCAUGCGAGUCAACUCCGCAAGGGGUGGCGCACGGCUCAGUAACACGUAGUCAACCUACCCUGGGGACGGGGAUAACCUCGGGAAACUGAGGCUAAACCCCGAUGGGCCAUGGCUCCUGGAAUGGGCUAUGGCUGAAAUCUACAUGGCCCCAGGAUGGGACUGCGGCCGAUCAGGUUGUUGGUGGGGUAAUGGCCCACCAAGCCUAUAACCGGUGCGGGCUCUGAGAGGAGGAGCCCGGAGAUGGGCGCUGAGACAAGGGCCCAGGUCCUAUGGGGCGCAGCAGGCGCGAAACCUCCGCAAUGGGCGAAAGCCCGACGGGGUCAGUCCGAGUGGUCCCCGCUGAGGGAACCUUUUGCCAGCUGUAAACAGGCUGGCGAAUAAGGGGUGGGCAAGUUUGGUGUCAGCCGCCGCGGUAAUACCAGCACCCCGAGUGGUCGGGACGAUUAUUGGGCCUAAAGCAUCCGUAGCCGGCCCAGUAAGUCCUCCGUUAAAUCCAACGGCUCAACCGUUGGGCUGCGGGGGAUACUGCUGGGCUAGGGGACGGGAGAGGCGAGGGGUAUUCCCGGGGUAGGGGUAAAAUCCACUGAUCCCGGGAGGACCACCAGUGGCGAAGGCGCCUCGCUAGAACGUGCCCGACGGUGAGGGAUGAAAGCUGGGGGAGCGAACCGGAUUAGAUACCCGGGUAGUCCCAGCCGUAAACGAUGUAGGCUCGGUGUUGGGCUGCCUCAGUGGCAGCCCAGUGCCGCAGGGAAGCCGUUAAGCCUACCGCCUGGGGAGUACGGCCGCAAGGCUGAAACUUAAAGGAAUUGGCG